This 189-nucleotide small nuclear RNA is filed under the name Echinops telfairi (small Madagascar hedgehog). RNAcentral's name for it is "U2 spliceosomal RNA (ENSETEG00000020637.1)". It matches the Rfam family "U2 spliceosomal RNA". From Rfam's summary of the family: U2 is a small nuclear RNA (snRNA) component of the spliceosome (involved in pre-mRNA splicing). Complementary binding between U2 snRNA (in an area lying towards the 5' end but 3' to hairpin I) and the branchpoint sequence (BPS) of the intron results the bulging out of an unpaired adenosine, on the BPS, which initiates a nucleophilic attack at the intronic 5' splice site, thus starting the first of two transesterification reactions that mediate splicing. The record is from RNAcentral. Lineage: Eukaryota; Metazoa; Chordata; Mammalia; Afrosoricida; Tenrecidae.
AUCGCUUCUCGGCCUUUAGGCUAAGAUCAAGUGUAGUAUCUUCUUAUCAGUUUAAUAUCUGAUACAUCCUCUAUCCGAGGACAAUAUGUUAAAUGGAUUUUUGGAGCAGGGAGAUGGAAUAGGAGCUUGCUCCGUCCACUCCACACAUUGACCUAGUAUUGCAGUACUUCCAGGAACGGUGCACAAAAA